UAUAAUAUAUCACUAUGGAUCCUGGGAGC
RNAcentral lists this non-coding RNA (29 nucleotides) under Rattus norvegicus (Norway rat). The record is from RNAcentral. Lineage: Eukaryota; Metazoa; Chordata; Mammalia; Rodentia; Muridae.